GAUGAACGCUGGCGGCGUGCCUAAUACAUGCAAGUCGAGCGAACAGACGAGGAGCUUGCUCCUCUGACGUUAGCGGCGGACGGGUGAGUAACACGUGGAUAACCUACCUAUAAGACUGGGAUAACUUCGGGAAACCGGAGCUAAUACCGGAUAAUAUAUUGAACCGCAUGGUUCAAUAGUGAAAGACGGUUUUGCUGUCACUUAUAGAUGGAUCCGCGCCGCAUUAGCUAGUUGGUAAGGUAACGGCUUACCAAGGCGACGAUGCGUAGCCGACCUGAGAGGGUGAUCGGCCACACGGGAACUGAGACACGGUCCAGACUCCUAGGGGAGGCAGCAGUAGGGAAUCUUCCGCAAUGGGCGAAAGCCUGACGGAGCAACGCCGCGUGAGUGAUGAAGGUCUUCGGAUCGUAAAACUCUGUUAUUAGGGAAGAACAAAUGUGUAAGUAACUAUGCACGUCUGGACGGUACCUAAUCAGAAAGCCACGGCGAACUACGU
Molecule: ribosomal RNA, 496 nt
Filed under: uncultured bacterium
Lineage: Bacteria
Description: partial 16S ribosomal RNA
Rfam family: Bacterial small subunit ribosomal RNA
Source: RNAcentral